RNAcentral lists this ribosomal RNA (2682 nucleotides) under Triticum aestivum (bread wheat). RNAcentral describes it as "partial small subunit ribosomal RNA". The record is from RNAcentral. Lineage: Eukaryota; Viridiplantae; Streptophyta; Magnoliopsida; Poales; Poaceae.
AUGGCUCUCUCAAAUCUCCAGUUAGAGGCAGGGUUCAAGUUUGAGGAGCAGAUUUGGCAAAAAAUUGGAGUGCCAGUCAACUUCCUGGAAGGUAGGAACCUCAAAGAAUUCUUCUUGGUUGCUAAAAUUUUGAGAUCUAAGAUCAGGCUCGAUGAGGAUUCUGUGGGGCUUAUUCUUCAAUCAUGCUUCGAAGGCCAUGCCUCACGUUUCAAGGUUCAAUGUUGUCAAAAUUGGACCUUAAAAUUCUCUAUUGCUUCUAAAGAUGUUGGUCUGUUCAUCUUUCAUGGAGGUAAUAUCUCAAACCAAAUUUUCAAUCUCUCUUUCUGGCUAUGGGGAGGAGGAGGACCAGAUUAUCUCACAGAAGUUGAGUUAUUUUGCCGUGAGAAAGAUGAUGAAUGGACUCAAGUUUACGGAAAAGGAAAAUCAAAAUCCUAUGCUCAAGCUGUUCAGACGCCUCGAAUUUCCAAACCUGUUCAAACUCACAUUUCAGUUUUUGAUCGUUUGCAAUUCGACGCUAAUGGAUCUCCGGCAGUUUUGGCUCAUGCGGCAGUUACUCAGAAUAAUGGCCCGGUGGGAUCAAGGGCGAGAGUUCAGGGUUUUGAUUUGAAUGCCAAAGGAAUUCUUGGGCCUAUUCCUCGCACUGGGCCGAGCAACGCCCGCUCUCAAGUCAAGUGUGCGAGAUGCCUUUUGAUGGGCCAGACUCGUGAGGCCUGCACGAAUCGCAUCAGAUGUUGGGCCUGUAAUGGCUGGGGACAUAUUGGGGCCAAGGUCAAUCAGCAGUCAAUCUCGCCAUCAUUUCGCCUUACCAACCUUGAGCUGGGCCUACCUGUCAACCACUCGGCGAUGCUUCGAACUCCAAACACCACCGCCCCUCGCCCCAGUCAAGUCACUUCUCCGCCACCUCCUCCGCCCCGCCCCGGAACUUCUGACCUCGCCGCCAUCCGCUCCGCUACUGCCGCCGCAAUGGCAAACUUUCCCUUCGACCCCCUCCCCUUCCUACCCUUUGGCUAUCAGCCUCUCCAAGUUGAAGGAAGACCAGCGCGUGUGAGGGUUGUGUGUGGACACAUCCACAGGAAGAACGAGAAUUUGGCAAUGGCGACGAUCAUUCCAAUGCCGGCAGGGGAGGUUCACUUUGCAAAUUCUUUCAGCACUUUCAUGGAAUGGGAUCAGCAGCUCAGCUCAGAUGCUGGCAUUCUAGUCAAGAUAAGGGUGGAGGAACUCCGAGAUAUCCCAUCAAGUAUCCUCCUUACAGGAUCUAAUGAAUUCAGAGGAGACUCAUGGUCUUGCCCAGUCUCAAUUUUGCAGCAACGGCUGAUUGAACAAGGGCCAGCAGAUGAAGAGCCUGUUCCCCUUGAUGGAAAUCCUCACCCAAUUCCACAGCAGCCACAUUUUCAUCCCAACCAACAUCACUUCUUUGGGCCUAUAAACCAACACCAGCAGGAAGAGAACAAUGAUGACCAGGACAACCAGGCAGAGGAGCAGAAUCAUAAUCAAGUCAAUCUGGACCUAAAUUUGGUCGAUGUUCCUGUUCAUUUGGCUCAGGACUUCCACCCCUGGGGACCACAAGAAAACAUUGACCUAAACAUUGAUCUUGAGCUGCACCAGGGGGGAUUCAUGCAAAUGCAUGACCUCAUGGAGCCUUGUGAUGAUAUGCAACAACCACAAGCAGAGCUGCCCAUCAUGGAUGAUAAUAGUGACAUUACUCUCUCUUUUGGAUCCAAUGAUUCUGAAGCAACUCAGGAUGCAGAAGAUGUGCCUCUUCAAAAUGCAGAUAAUUUCAUGGAGGAAUUUAACAGACAGCUUCUGGCAAAGGAAUUGUUUGAUGAAUUUGCAAACCCUUCUUUGGGACUAACUGUGGUAGCUAGAAGGACUUUGAUUGAUGAUGGCAUUGAGAAGGAUGUUCUUACCUCACCUGAUAAAUCUGUUCCUAAGGACAUACACAAUAUUGAGACUGUUGAAUCUGAGAAAGAACAUCUUCCAGUGCAUGUUCCAGUUGCAUAUCAUGAAGACCUGGAUAUCUCUCUGACAGAGCAAGUUGCAGUUCCUCAAGACUCUGCUACCUCAGGUAGCAUGGGCCCACCACCUGGAUAUGAUACAAAGGGUAAAUAUUUACCUGCUGCUAAAAACUCUUCUACCACUGCGCCUGAUAUCUCUGAUCCUUAUCUGCAAGCUAUAAUUCAUGGAGCAGCUACAGAUAGCAAGAUUGUCAAGUCUCCACAGGAAGAGCAUCAUUGUUUGGGAGGAGAAAGUGCAAAGCUUUGGGCUGCACAUUUUGCACCUAAAAAUGAGUCUGAUAAGGUUACCCAGGGCAUUCUAGGAGGAGAAGAUAGUGUGGAGCCCUCCUUCUCCACACCUCAAUCCAAAACUUCUUCCUCCCUUGCUCCUGUUUUGGAGGAUCAUGCCUCCACUACUAGUGCUCUUCACAGCCUGAAGAAGAGAAAAGACAGAGCACCUGUGGUAGAAACUGAGGUAAGGAGGAGUAAUAGACUGAAAGAGCAAUAUCCUCCACCUAUUGCUGGGAAAAUUGUUAAAAACGUAUCCACUUCCAUUUGCAAGGUGGAUGCUAAGGAAGUAACAGAGGAAACUCUCAACAAACAGAAAAACAAGAGAGGAACCAAGGUGGAGACUAGCAAGGAGGGACAGAAGGAGGCUCCCAAGGCCAAGGCCAUCUUCAAGCCUUGA